This is a long non-coding RNA of Lagenorhynchus albirostris (white-beaked dolphin), 298 nucleotides long. RefSeq lists it as uncharacterized. The transcript has 3 exons. NCBI's taxonomy places the organism in Eukaryota, Metazoa, Chordata, Mammalia, Artiodactyla, Delphinidae. The record is from RefSeq and is a predicted model, not a curated record.
GGCAAAACCCAGAUUAACCCCCUGCAUCCUGGUGGCCGGUGGUCAGUCUUUGCGAUUAAUGAUAUUUUCACCUGAGUGAACGCAUUCAAGACUUUCCUUUUAAAAGAUAAAUAUGCAGUCACUCGACCAACUCUGAACAGUCUUUUGGAAAGAAAAGAUGCUCAGAGGACACUGGUCCAGUCCAGCUCGGUCCCUGAUGUCUGCCUGUCGCAAAACUGUGUGAAGGGAGACCAAAUGUCAAUAAAAUCUCCCUGCCUGCCUCAACCGACUACAUAAUCAGCUCCAAGGUAAAUAAAUG